GACGAACGCUGACGGCGUACUUAACACAUGCAAGUCGAGCGGAGCGGCGCACGGGAGAGUAACGCGUGAGUAACUGCCCCCCUCUCUGGGAUAACAGUUGGAAACGGCUGCUAAUACCGGAUAGUGGGGGAUGACACGGGUCCUAUAAGCUUGUUGGUGGGGUAGGGGCCUACCAAGUAGACGACGGGUAGCCGGCCUGAGAGGGCGACCGGCCACAUUGUGCUACGGUACGGCCCAUACUCCUACGGGGGGCAGUAGUUGGGAAGAUGGCACAAUGGGGGAAACCCUGAUGCAGCAACGCCGCGUGCGGGAUAACGUCUUUCGGGUUGUAAUCCUCUAUCAGCCAAGACGCGGUAGUGGCAGAGGAAGCACCGGCUAACUACGUGCCAGCAGACGCGGGAAUAC
This 405-nucleotide ribosomal RNA is filed under the name uncultured bacterium. Its description in RNAcentral is "partial 16S ribosomal RNA". It matches the Rfam family "Bacterial small subunit ribosomal RNA", at positions 28 to 526 of the family's 1533-position model. The record is from RNAcentral.